UCGGUUAUAAGAACCCUCAAAGAUGAUGAGGUUAAUAGGUUCGAGGUGGAAGCAUGGUGACAUGUGGAGCUGACGAAUACUAAUCGAUCGAAGACUUAAUCAAA
Molecule: ribosomal RNA, 104 nt
Filed under: Staphylococcus aureus
Lineage: Bacteria; Bacillati; Bacillota; Bacilli; Caryophanales; Staphylococcaceae
Description: partial 23S ribosomal RNA
Rfam family: Bacterial large subunit ribosomal RNA
Source: RNAcentral